RNAcentral lists this ribosomal RNA (450 nucleotides) under uncultured bacterium. Its description in RNAcentral is "partial 16S ribosomal RNA". It matches the Rfam family "Bacterial small subunit ribosomal RNA", at positions 354 to 796 of the family's 1533-position model. The record is from RNAcentral.
GUGGGGAAUUUUGGACAAUGGGCGAAAGCCUGAUCCAGCCAUGCCGCGUGUGUGAAGAAGGUCUUCGGAUUGUAAAGCACUUUAAGUUGGGAGGAAGGGCAGUAAGUUAAUACCUUGCUGUUUUGACGUUACCGACAGAAUAAGCACCGGCUAACUUCGUGCCAGCAGCCGCGGUAAUACGAAGGGUGCAAGCGUUAAUCGGAAUUACUGGGCGUAAAGCGCGCGUAGGUGGUUCGUUAAGUUGGAUGUGAAAGCCCCGGGCUCAACCUGGGAACUGCAGCCAAAACUGGCGAGCUAGAGUACGGUAGAGGGUGGUGGAAUUUCCUGUGUAGCGGUGAAAUGCGUAGAUAUAGGAAGGAACACCAGUGGCGAAGGCGACCACCUGGACUGAUACUGACACUGAGGUGCGAAAGCGUGGGGAGCAAACAGGAUUAGAUACCCGUGUAGUCC